Molecule: ribosomal RNA, 1685 nt
Filed under: Ecsenius bicolor (bicolor blenny)
Lineage: Eukaryota; Metazoa; Chordata; Actinopteri; Blenniiformes; Blenniidae
Description: 16S ribosomal RNA
Rfam family: Bacterial large subunit ribosomal RNA
Source: RNAcentral
UGCUUAACAGCUAGCUCACCCAGCAACUUAACCCCCCCCCCCCAACCACCCUAAGAUAACAAUGACAAACAAAAACUAACUAAAACAUUCUUCCUCUUAAGUACAGGCGAUUGAAAAAGAACCAUCGAAGCUACAGAAAAAGUACCGCAAGGGAAAGCUGAAAAAGAAAUGAAAUAACUCAGUAAAGCCAAAAAAAGCAAAGAUUAACUCUUGUACCUUUUGCAUCAUGGCUUAGCUAGCCACCCUCAGGCAAAAAGAUUUAUAGUCUGAUACCCCGAAACCAAGUGAGCUACUCCGAGGCAGCCUAAUAAUAGGGCACACCCGUCUCUGUGGCAAAAGAGUGGGAAGAACUCCGAGUAGAGGUGAUAAACCUACCGAACCUGGCAAUAGCUGGUUGUCUAAAAAAUGAAUAGAAGUUCAGCACUUAGUUUUCUCUUUUUAACCCCUAAAAUUACAGAGAAAGCUAAGUAGUUAGUCCAAGGAGGUACAGCCCCCUGGACAAAAGACACAACUUUAGCAGACGGAUAAAGAUCAAACUAACAAAAGAACAACACACUAGUGGGCUUAAAAGCAGCCAUCUAAAGAAAAAGCGUUAAAGCUUAAGUCCUGAUAAAUCUAAUAAUAAAGAUCACUUUAUCUUAUUCCUCCAACCCCACUAGACCGCCUUAUGCCCCCAUAAAAGCGAUAAUGCUAACAUGAGUAAUAAGAGAACAGAAUCUCUCCUCACACAAAUGUACCCCAGAACGAACACAUCGCUGGGAAUUAACGGACCCAAAAUAGAGGGUAACGAGACAGUAAACAAAACAACCAGAAAACCCCCCGCACUCCCCCGUUAACCUUACACAAGCGUGUCUACAAGGAAAGACUAAAAAAAAAGGAAGGAACUCGGCAAAUUAAUCCACCAAGCCUCGCCUGUUUACCAAAAACAUCGCCUCUUGCCACACAAAGUAUAAGAGGUCCCGCCUGCCCUGUGAUCAUGAAUUUAACGGCCGCGGUAUUUUGACCGUGCAAAGGUAGCGCAAUCACUUGUCUUUUAAAUGGAGACCUGUAUGAAUGGCAUAACGAGGGCUUAACUGUCUCCCUUUUUUAGUCAAUGAAAUUGAUCUUCCCGUGCAGAAGCGGGAAUAAAAACAUAAGACGAGAAGACCCUGUGGAGCUUUAGACAAUAAAUAACACUCGUCAAAUACUCUUAACCAAAAAAUUGAACGAAAAGUGCUCUAUUUUGCUGUCUUUGGUUGGGGCGACCGCGGGGUAAAAAGAAACCCCCACGUGGCAUAGAAACACCCUUUCUUUAAUUAAGAGUGACAACCCUAAAUAUUAGAACAUCUAACCUACAAUGACCCGGCUCUGCUGCCGAUCAACGAAACUAGUUACCCCAGGGAUAACAGCGCAAUCCUUUCCCAGAGCCCAUAUCGACGAUAGGGUUUACGACCUCGAUGUUGGAUCAGGACAUCCUAAUGGUGCAGCAGCUAUUAAGGGUUCGUUUGUUCAACGAUUAAAGUCCUACGUGAUCUGAGUUCAGUCCGGAGUAAUCCAGGUCAGUUUCUAUCUAUGGCAUGCUCUUUUCCAGUACGAAAGGACCGAAAAGAUAAGGUCCCUACUAAAAGCACACCUUACCUUACACCUAAUGAAGUCAACUAAACUAGGAGAAAAGGCAUAAAAUCACCCACCCCCGAAAAUGGUUU